RNAcentral lists this ribosomal RNA (292 nucleotides) under uncultured bacterium. RNAcentral's name for it is "partial 16S ribosomal RNA". It matches the Rfam family "Bacterial small subunit ribosomal RNA", at positions 505 to 796 of the family's 1533-position model. The record is from RNAcentral.
GUGUCAGCAGCCGCGGUAAUACGUAGGGGGCUAGCGUUGUCCGGAAUCAUUGGGCGUAAAGCGCGCGUAGGCGGCCCGGUAAGUCCGCUGUGAAAGUCCAGGGCUCAACCCUGGAAAGCCGGUGGAUACUGCCGGGCUAGAGUCCGGGAGAGGCGAGUGGAAUUCCUGGUGUAGCGGUGGAAUGCGCAGAUAUCAGGAGGAACACCUAAGGCGAAGGCAGCUCGCUGGAACGGUACUGACGCUGAGGCGCGAAAGCGUGGGGAGCAAACAGGAUUAGAUACCCUGGUAGUCC